GGCGAGUGAAGCGGCAACAGCUCAAAUUUGAAAUCUGGCUCUAGGGUCCGAAUUGUAAUUUGUAGAGGAUGCUUUUGGCGAAGUGCCUUCCGAGUUCCCUGGAACGGGACGCCUUAGAGGGUGAGAGCCCCGUACGGUUGGACACCGAGCCUCUGUAAAGCUCCUUCGACGAGUCGAGUAGUUUGGGAAUGCUGCUCUAAAUGGGAGGUAAAUUUCUUCUAAAGCUAAAUACCGGCCAGAGACCGAUAGCGCACAAGUAGAGUGAUCGAAAGAUGAAAAGCACUUUGAAAAGAGGGUUAAAUAGCACGUGAAAUUGUUGAAAGGGAAGCGUUUACGGCCAGACCUUUUCCUGGCGGAUCAUCCUGUGUUCUCACCGGUGCACUCCGCUAGGUUUAGGCCAGCAUCGGCUUCUGUAGGGGGAUAAAAGCCCUGGGAAAGUAGCUCCCUCGGGAGUGUUAUAGCCCUAGGCAUAAUACCCUUACGGGGGCCGAGGACCGCGUUCUGCAAGGAUGCUGGCGUAAUGGUCGUCAACGACCCGUCUUGAAACACGGACCAAGGAGUCGAACAUUUGUGCGAGUGUUUGGGUGUUAAACCCUCACGCGUAAUGAAAGUGAACGGAGGUGAGAGCCCUUUACGGGGUGCAUCAUCGACCGAUCCUGAUGUCUUCGGAUGGAUUUGAGUAGGAGCAUUAAUGUUCGGACCCGAAAGAUGGUGAACUAUGCGUGGAUAGGGUGAAGCCAGAGGAAACUCUGGUGGAGGCUCGCAGCGGUUCUGACGUGCAAAUCGAUCGUCAAAUCUGCGCAUGGGGGCGAAAGACUUAUCGAACCAUCUAGUAGCUGGUUACC
RNAcentral lists this ribosomal RNA (845 nucleotides) under Graphostroma platystomum. RNAcentral's name for it is "partial large subunit ribosomal RNA". It matches the Rfam family "Eukaryotic large subunit ribosomal RNA", at positions 88 to 959 of the family's 3401-position model. Lineage: Eukaryota; Fungi; Ascomycota; Sordariomycetes; Xylariales; Graphostromataceae. The record is from RNAcentral.